RNAcentral lists this non-coding RNA (21 nucleotides) under Caenorhabditis elegans. The record is from RNAcentral. Lineage: Eukaryota; Metazoa; Nematoda; Chromadorea; Rhabditida; Rhabditidae.
UCUGGCUACAAUUUGAAGCUU